UAUUAUUUUUGAUGUUAAUUAUUUAACUUGAGUAGUAAUAGUUAUGGUCUUGAAACUUAAAGAAUUUGGCAGUAUUUUAUUCUGUUCAGAGGAACCUGUUCUUUUAUCGAUAAUCCUCGUUGGACCUUACUUAAUUUAUUGAUUUGUAUACCGCCGUUUUAUUGAGGAUCUUUAUAGUGUUUUUAAUUUUCUGGUUUUUAUUUGAAAUUAUUUCAGGUCAAGGUGCAAUUUAUGAUUAAGUAGAAAUGGGUUACAAUUAUAUUUAUUUUUGAAUUAUUAAAUGGAAUUUUAAUAUGAAAGUGGAUUUGAAUGUAAUUAUUAUUUUAGAUUGUAUUAAUGAUUUAGUUUCUAGAAUGUGUACACAUCGCCCGUCGCUCUCGUUAUUUAUUCGAG
Molecule: ribosomal RNA, 393 nt
Filed under: Cryptocercus laojunensis
Lineage: Eukaryota; Metazoa; Arthropoda; Insecta; Blattodea; Cryptocercidae
Description: partial 12S small subunit ribosomal RNA
Source: RNAcentral